AUGCAUGCAUGCAACGCCUAAGGUCUUUCCAACUUAGGUUGCAACACCAAACUGGGUAACACCCCCCUAGUUGACUGUAUUGAGUUGACUUCCACUCACGUUAACAGAGCGUCGGUCUCUGCUAACAACAUCUCUGUUCAGGAAUACUCUCAUGAAGACGAUCAGACCACACAAUUGGCUGCUACAAUGUACACAAACACUUAACUGUCUUUUAAGAACUCUUACGCAAAAGUUCUUAUGUACCAGAGUCAUUUAACAGCCACCACUUUUCGAUACGACGAUGACCGCGAUGAUAUUGACUAGAAUUUUUUCUCCGUUUUCAAUAUUUCAGUGCUUAUCAAAUAAUCAUUCUUAAAGUCACUGAUUGUGUUCAAGAGCUUCCCAGGGAUUUUGAUGUGAAGCUGAAAGAUUCCAACGACAAAGAGUUGAACUUUUAUCCUUUUUACAUCGCUGCGGAAAUCGAAAAUGGGUCUGUGCGUGAUAAAUCUUGGAAAUUUGCUGUUGGUGAUGGGAAAUCGUAUGGAACUUUUACAAACAAAGAGCUGAGGCGAGGAGAAAACUACAUUGCCUACCAAAGAGCCAUAACUCGACACAACGGUCAAAUUUUGGAAGGAGGUGCCAGUAAAGUCGCCUUUAUAGCUGUCACACCAGAGUCACUUAAAAAUACUGAAGAAACCAUAAAAGGAAAUGUCAGUGAAUGCCAAGUCCUUCGCGUUGGUGUCAUCGCUCUUUCUUGCGUU
Molecule: long non-coding RNA, 740 nt
Organism: Stylophora pistillata
Lineage: Eukaryota; Metazoa; Cnidaria; Anthozoa; Scleractinia; Pocilloporidae
Source: RefSeq, a predicted model, not a curated record